This is a long non-coding RNA of Pseudophryne corroboree (corroboree frog), 591 nucleotides long. RefSeq lists it as uncharacterized. Lineage: Eukaryota; Metazoa; Chordata; Amphibia; Anura; Myobatrachidae. The transcript has 4 exons. The record is from RefSeq and is a predicted model, not a curated record.
CACGGGGGGUCCGAUGUUAGGCCACGCCCCCGAAUUUGCUUGGCUCCUGGCGUCGGCGGUAGUCUGUGUGGCCUGCCCCUCACUGCUUCCUCUGUGGGGACUUGGAGGUGACAGGGACCUGCGGCAGUGUGGUGCCAUGAAGGGGCAAGCAGCAGUACUAGCAGGAGGAGGUGGUCCAGCCAGUCCAGCCGCACUCACCUUUUUUACCACUCUCUGACGCUGUUGCCCGACGUCAUGAUCCAACAAAAAACAGAAGAAGGGACCCACUGCUGCCGGAGAAGAAAGGGGACCCGCUUUUCCUGUCACUGAUGAGAAGGGGGACCCACUACUGCCCGAGCGCUACAUGCGCCUCUAUCUGGUUUCCAUGGUGAUGGUUUCAUGCACGUAAUAUGCUAAUGGCACUAUGACAUCAUUCCCGCAGCCCCCGCCCGGAUGUUCGGGCGUGGAUCAGCUGAGGGAUUUCACGCGGGUGGUUUAAAAAGAUUAUACAGUAUUCUAAAAGAGUCUGUCAGUACGGCAAUGCGCAGCCUAUGAUGACGUCAUUAGUGGGUGUUUUUUCACUGAACCUGGACGCUGAUUUGUGGUGGCAGA